This 53-nucleotide transfer RNA is filed under the name Phyllopezus heuteri. RNAcentral describes it as "tRNA-Asn". Lineage: Eukaryota; Metazoa; Chordata; Lepidosauria; Squamata; Phyllodactylidae. The record is from RNAcentral.
UUGGGUGUUUAGUUGUUAACUAAAGUAUUACGGGAUCGAGGCCCGUCGGUCUA